Camelus dromedarius (Arabian camel) is the source of this 1013-nucleotide long non-coding RNA. RefSeq lists it as uncharacterized. NCBI's taxonomy places the organism in Eukaryota, Metazoa, Chordata, Mammalia, Artiodactyla, Camelidae. The transcript is spliced from 4 exons. The record is from RefSeq and is a predicted model, not a curated record.
CAUAUAACACAGGUUCAACAACCUAUAACUAAUAUAUUUAGAAACCAAGAGUUUCCCUUGAAGAUUACCUAACUUACAAGGCGCGAUCAGUGAGAUGAUGCAGGAGUCAAAGACUGCCUGCCUGGCUUUCGAAAUGGAAGAAUAUUUCCAGUGACUCCUUGACAUUAAUUAGGCACAGGAAGGGAAAUUAAUAUUUAUCUUAGCUUAAAGGAAAACUCGGGAAGUGAAACCUAAUUGUCCACGAACUGAAGGAUUUGAAUGAGAGGCUCUGCCCCACUAGCUCAGUAUUGUCCAGGGCUGCGUCUACUUCAUCUAAAACAAAGAAUGGAGCAGGCCGAAAACUAGAAAAAGAUUACAAUCAAGUUACAACUCUGUUUCACCGAAGCCAUGGAGGAGAGGACUAACAGCAUUCAGGGCAACUCCACAGACUCCGGAUUCACAGGCUCUCCAUUACCCUAACUACUACACAGACCACUGACAGCUCUAUAGACUCAAAUUUGUACCAGAUAACAGAAUUCCAGAGCUGAAGAGAACUUGGAAACCAAAUGAUCUAACCCACUCAUUCUGCAGAUGAAGAACCAGGACCAGGAAGAGUCUGGCUUGUCCUGGCUGGCCAGUGGUGGAGUGAGUAGGAUCUAGAACAUGGGUCACUGUGACAACCAGUCUUCACGAGUUGACUUUGCCCCGUUAAGUGAGUUGCUCAAACAGUGUGGUGGCAAUUUCCCACCAGGAAAAACCCCCACAACAACACAAAGUUCCCACUCAUACUUGGGGGUGAAAAAUACAUACUUGGGCACUGUGGUUUCUGCAGAGCUUCUUGUAGAUCUGAUCAAUUGAGACUGAGACGUGCUCAAAACACUGGCUGAAAAGAUCGUAUCUCCUUUUUUUCACCUGUUCAAACUCUUGCCUACAUAUUCUGGCUUCCUUUCUGCUGGCCUCAAAAGCUAAGAGAGAAUCAAUGUUCUUUAUUUUGGAGAACACCAAGGGUUUUCUCAACUUUAAAGCAUAAAAUA